This 492-nucleotide ribosomal RNA is filed under the name uncultured bacterium. Its description in RNAcentral is "partial 16S ribosomal RNA". It matches the Rfam family "Bacterial small subunit ribosomal RNA", at positions 29 to 507 of the family's 1533-position model. The record is from RNAcentral.
AGUGAACGCUGGCGGUAGGCCUAACACAUGCAAGUCGAACGGCAGCACAGUAAGAGCUUGCUCUUACGGGUGGCGAGUGGCGGACGGGUGAGGAAUACAUCGGAAUCUACUUUUUCGUGGGGGAUAACGUAGGGAAACUUACGCUAAUACCGCAUACGACCUACGGGUGAAAGCAGGGGAUCUUCGUACCUUGCGCGAUUGAAUGAGCCGAUGUCGGAUUAGCUAGUUGGCGGGGUAAAGGCCCACCAAGGCGACGAUCCGUAGCUGGUCUGAGAGGAUGAUCAGCCACACUGGAACUGAGAAACGGUCCAGACUCCUAAGGGAGGCAGCAGUGGGGAAUAUUGGACAAUGGGCGCAAGCCUGAUCCAGCCAUAACGCGUGGGUGAAGAAGGCCUUCGGGUUGUAAAGCCCUUUUGUUGGGAAAGAAAAGCAGCAGGUUAAUACCCCGCUGUUCUGACGGUACCCAAAGAAUAAGCACCGGCUAACUUCGUG